GAUGAACGCUAGCUACAGGCUUAACACAUGCAAGUCGAGGGGCAGCAUGAAUUUACUUCGGUAAAUUUGAUGGCGACCGGCGCACGGGUGCGUAACGCGUAUCCAACCUUCCCGUUACUCCGGGAUAGCCUUCCGAAAGGGAGAUUAAUACCGGAUGGUGUUCAAGUGGUGCAUAUUAUUUGAACUAAAGAUUUAUCGGUAACGGAUGGGGAUGCGUACCAUUAGAUAGUAGGCGGGUAACGGCCCACCUAGUCUACGAUGGUUAGGGGUUCUGAGAGGAAGGUCCCCCACACUGGAACUGAGACACGGUCCAGACUCCUACGGGAGGCAGCAGUGAGGAAAUAUUGGUCAAUGGCCGUAAGGCUGAAACCAGCCAAGUAGCGUGAAGGAUGAAGGUUCUAUGGAUUGUAAACUUCUUUUAUACGGAAUAACACCAUCUACGUGUAGAUGUCUGCAUGUACCGUAUGAAU
This 470-nucleotide ribosomal RNA is filed under the name uncultured bacterium. RNAcentral describes it as "bacterial SSU rRNA". It matches the Rfam family "Bacterial small subunit ribosomal RNA", at positions 28 to 487 of the family's 1533-position model. The record is from RNAcentral.